UGGGCAUGUUUCUGAAAUUCGAU
RNAcentral lists this microRNA (23 nucleotides) under Bombyx mori (domestic silkworm). RNAcentral's name for it is "bmo-miR-3277". The record is from miRBase by way of RNAcentral. Lineage: Eukaryota; Metazoa; Arthropoda; Insecta; Lepidoptera; Bombycidae.